RNAcentral lists this microRNA precursor (103 nucleotides) under Marmota monax (woodchuck). Lineage: Eukaryota; Metazoa; Chordata; Mammalia; Rodentia; Sciuridae. The record is from RNAcentral.
AGUGGAAAUGCUGGGUUAUAUGGUAACUUGCAUUUAAGUUUUUUGAUGAACUGUCGAACUGUUUUCCAAAGUACCUAUACCAUUUUACAGUCCCAUAGACAAU